Molecule: RNA transcript, 3007 nt
Organism: Hypomesus transpacificus
Lineage: Eukaryota; Metazoa; Chordata; Actinopteri; Osmeriformes; Osmeridae
Gene: ift80
Gene name: intraflagellar transport 80 homolog (Chlamydomonas)
Exons: 20
Source: RefSeq, a predicted model, not a curated record
CACUCACAGCCUGUGAAUCACAGGACAGGGAAGUGCAACGUGAACUGAACUGUGCUGCGCUAGCUAGCCUGAUCAACAGAUCAACAGAUAAUGGCAACGUUUGUAUUGAUCUUAAAUAGUUUGUUGCCUGCUACCUUGUCACCGCGACAACAUUAUUAGUAUAUCGAAUAAUAUUGGAACUGUACCCUUUAUGGAGUAGUGGCCAAGUAAGUUAUAUAAAUGUGAGGGUAAUCAUCACCUUAGCUAAGCUUGUUAGCUAGCGAGCGUUAGUCAAGGCUCCUAGCAACGACGUUUACUUGACGACCAUUCGUUUCAAGAUUCGCUGUGUGUCUUGGUACAGAAGCUGGUUGCUGGAGUGGAGAAUUGUUUUUCAGCCACCACUAUGAGAUUAAAAACAUCGUUACAGAAGGAGCCAAAACAUAAGGAGCUUGUGAGCAGCGUGGGCUGGACUAGCGCGGACGAGCUGUACUCCUGUAGCGAGGACCACCAGAUCCUGAAGUGGAACGUGCUCACUGGGGACACCACCCUGGUGGUGAAGCUGCAGGAGGACAUCUUCCCCGUUGAUCUGCACUGGAUCCCGAAGACUGUGGGCGGCAAGAAGCAGGCCCUGGUAGAGAACUUUGUGCUGACCAGCACUGAUGGGAAGUUCCACCUGUUCUCCAGGACAGGUCGUGUGGAGAAGAGUGUUGAGGCCCACAAGGGAGCCGUGCUGGCGGGGAGGUGGAACUACGAUGGCACCGCUCUCAUCACAGCUGGAGAGGACGGUCAGAUCAAGAUCUGGUCCAAGACUGGCAUGCUCAGGUCUACCCUGGCUCUGCAAGGGUCUCCGGUGUACUCGGUGGCCUGGGGUCCUGACUCUGACAGGAUUCUCUACACGUCUGGCAGACAGCUGGUCAUCAAGCCCCUGCAGCCCAGCGCCAAGGUCCAGCAGUGGAAGGCUCAUGAUGGGGUCAUUCUGAAGGUGGACUGGAACUCAGUGAACGACUUGAUCCUAUCAGGAGGAGAGGACUGUAAAUACAAGGUGUGGGACAGCUACGGCCGUCUCCUGUACUCCUCGUCUCCUCAUGACUACCCCAUCACCUCCGUCUCCUGGGCUCCUGAUGGAGAGGUGUUUGCUGUCGGCUCCUUUAACACCCUGCGCCUGUGUGACAAGACUGGGUGGUCGUACGCCCUGGAGAAGCCGAGCUCAGGGAGCGUGUUCAGCGUGGCGUGGGCGGCUGACGGCUCCCAGCUGGCCGGGGCGUGUGGGAACGGCCAGGUGCUGCUUGCUCACGUGGUGGAGCAGCGCUGGGAGUGGACUAGCUUCCAGAUCACCCUCACUAAGAGGAGGAGCAUGCAGGUGAGGAACGUGCUGAAUGAUGCAGUAGACAUGCUGGAGUUCAGAGACAGGGUCAUCAAGGCCUCUCUGGCUUACGGUCACCUGGUGGUCACCACCUCUUUACAGUGCUACGUUUACAAUGUGAAGAACUGGAAUACUCCCCUGAUCUUUGACCUGAAGGAGGGAACCGUCAGUCUCAUCCUGCAGGCAGAGAAACACUUCCUCCUGGUGGAUGGUGCUGGUGUUUAUGUCUUUUCCUACGAGGGUCGUCUCGUCUCCUCCCCCAAGUUCCCUGGGAUGAGGAGCGACACGCUGAGCCAGCAGUCCAUCUCCCUGAGCAACGACACCAUCGCCAUCCGAGACAAGAGCGACCAGAAGGCCAUCUUCCUCUUUGACGCUCUGACUGGGAAAGCUCUCGGAGACGGGAAACCACUGCUGCACAAGAUGGAAGUGGUGGAGAUAUCUCUGGACCAGUGUGGUUCUUCUGGAGAGAGGAAGAUUGCCCUUAUAGACAAGAACCGUGACCUCUACCUGACCCCUGUACGACGCCUGGCACGAGACCAGGGCCCCAGACAGAUAGGGGCCAUGGUGGUCACCAUGUCCUGGAACGACACAGCCAACAUCCUGUGUGGCAUUCAGGACAGCCAGCUGUGCGUGUGGCUGGACCCAGGAUGUGUGUUCACCGACAAGGACCUGCUGCCCCACACCCUGGUCAGCAAGGAUGCCAGUGAGUUGAGUCGCUCCCCCCACAUCCUGAGCUACGUGGGCUCCCAGGUGACGGUUCGCCGUAGCGACGGCUCUCUGGUGUGCAGCAGUGUGACUCCCUACGCCAGCCUGCUGCACCAGUACAGCGCCACCUCCCGCUGGGAGGACUCACUGCGCCUCUGCCGCUUCGCUAAGGACCAGUCACUGUGGGCGUGUCUUGCUGGCAUGGCAAUGGCCAAUCGGGAGCUGAGCACAGCUGAGGUGGCCUAUGCAGCCAUAGGAGAGGUAGACAAGGUCCAGUAUAUUACCUCCAUGAAGGAGCUUCCGUCCAGGGAGUCGUUGCUGGCUCACUUGCAGCUGUUCAGUGGCCAUGUGCAGGAAGCAGAGGGCAUCCUGCUGCAGGCUGGCCUCACUUACCAGGCCAUCCAGCUGCACAUCUCCCUCUACCACUGGGGACCGGGCUCUGGAGCUAGCUGUGAAGUAUAAGACCCAUGUGGACACAGUUCUGGCCUAUAGACUGAAGUUCCUGCAGGACUUCAGAAAGCAGGAAACCAACAAGCGUUUCCUGCAGUACGCAGAAGGGGUGGAGGUGGACUGGGAGAAGGUGCAGGCCAAGGUGGAGAUGGAGCUGGCCAGGGAGAGAGAGAGAGCAGUCAGCACCUCCAUCAAGACCAGCCUGGGACCUCCACACUGACACACACACACUGACACACACUACUUAUUGUACAUCUCUAACGUAUAUACAUGUAUACUGUAAUAUGAUAUGAGCUACCAUAUGUACCUUUAGUCUUGAUAACACUAUAUAAGACCAGUGACUGUUAGUGUGUGUAAUGUGAUAUUGUACAUGUUCAGCAGAGUGGUAUAUGUAAGGGUUUACAUUGAUAGUUCGGGUGUUAUUUUAUCGGGUGUUUACGUUAUUUUAUCAAUAUAGAUAUUUUUACACUUGUUGCCUCAAAUUGUUCAAAAUAAAAACAGUGAGAAAAA